AUGGAACGUGCAGAUGCCAGCCACGCCGCCGCUAAUGGCACUGAUUUGUAUGCUUUGUCUGCUGAAAACGCCCGCAUCGUUGUUACCAGGGCCCCCGCCCUAGCUGCGGCCCACGGCUGGGAAGCCCCGGAGGUUCCCGAUGCCUCCCACGCUCACGAACAGGUUCUUCUCGUCAGCUUCCCAUACACCGUGUUCUUCACUGCGGCGGUAGUGGCCGGAAGCACAGUCUUGGUCUUGGUCAUCGCUAGCACGUGGCAAAGCAUGAAAAAGGGAGCAGUGCCGGAACACUUCUUGGCCAGGGCACUGCUCUAG
Molecule: ribosomal RNA, 312 nt
Filed under: Triticum aestivum (bread wheat)
Lineage: Eukaryota; Viridiplantae; Streptophyta; Magnoliopsida; Poales; Poaceae
Description: partial small subunit ribosomal RNA
Source: RNAcentral